Molecule: RNA transcript, 2310 nt
Organism: Phalaenopsis equestris
Lineage: Eukaryota; Viridiplantae; Streptophyta; Magnoliopsida; Asparagales; Orchidaceae
Exons: 12
Source: RefSeq, a predicted model, not a curated record
CAGAACGAGGGGGCAGGAGAGAGAGAGAGAGAGAGAGAGAGAGAGUCGAAGAGUGGCAGCGAAUCGAAGCUGCUUCCUCUACUUCUUCGUGAUUCAGAAGGGCCGGCAAGGGUUUUAUUGGAUUCCUAAUUAUCAUUCCAAUGCUCAAUUUAUGCCAUUAGUAAAUCUUUUAUGGUGGAAGUGUGAUAUGUGACAGUGUUUGCACAUCAAUUGCGUCCUUAGUUCUUGUUCUUUUCUACUCAUUGUUUCAUAGCAACCUGUUUAUUGGUUAUAAGUUCUUCAUAGAAUGGCAGUCGGGAUUCACAUGAGGAGAAGAGUUGUCCGUAAUAAGUUUUCCGAUGGACGUCGAGGCGGAUAUGCCAGGGAAGAUUCUGAUGGUGAGGUCUUUGCAAAAGUGGAAGAAUUAGAUCACUUAUCUAAUGUGAGGUCGAAAGGAAGAAGUUUGCGGACGAAUAUCAAGCAGAGCGAUAAAACAUUUGCCAGAGGAGAAGAAAAUGAUUCCAAGCUUUCUCGAUGGAGAAUGAGGAGAUCGGUUUCUAAGGAUGCAGGGAAGGAAAGUAACCUUUUGUUGAGGACGCGGAAGGAAUGGGGUAAGGAUGCUGAUGUUGCUAGAAAGGGUAGAGCUGGUGAUGUGAGAUUGUUUGCAGGGAAACCUGUUAGGGCAAUGCGGAAAACUGUUGAUCGUGAUUUUUCCGAUCAUGAACAUGAUAAUGGGGGUUUCUACAGAAGAAAAGAAAGGAACAUGCAAACUGAAGCAUAUGCUCGAAAAAUUAGUUUGAAAAGGCGAAAGUUUGAUGGGGAAUUAGCUGAUAAUGUCUGUGAUGUAGAAAUGGAUGGAUUGGAGAAGCCGGCUACGAUUAAAGUUGGAGAAAAUCAAAUUUCUGAGCAAAAGCCUAUCAGAAGGCCAACUCGGUUGCUGGACAAAACUGGUAAGAAGAUAAGAGUUCAAACAAAAUCCAUUGAAAAUGGCUUAACUGAGACCAGUGCUUCCAAGAAGAAAACUAGGCGAGUUAUCAAGAUAGACCCAUAUGAUUUUUCAAAUAAAAGAUUAAUUGACGGUGCUCCUAGAAGUGACAUCUCUGUGGAGAAAGAAACUGUGGUUUCAAUGAAUGCUCAGUUUCGUUCGAUACAACCAAGCGACGAAAUCCUCUCCUUUGUGGAAGAAAAUCUGCUGGGACGUAGGCGUUUGAUUGAGUUGCAAAAUGCCGGCUACAAUGUGAAGCUAUCGGCUCCAUUAGAUAACACACCAUUUUCUACUGCAACAGAGAGGGAAAAGAUCGAGGACAAUGUAUUUCGGAAUAAGUUGGAAUUUUUUGCAGCUGCAAAGAUUUCCUCAUCUUUCCCUUCUCCAACACUUCCUGAGAUAGCAUUUGCAGGCAGGUCAAAUGUUGGCAAAUCAUCAUUGCUAAAUGCACUUACCAGACAAUGGGGUGUGGUGAGAACAUCAGAUAAGCCUGGCUUGACUCAGACCAUCAACUUUUUCAAACUCGCCUCAAAGCUUUGUUUGGUUGAUCUUCCUGGUUAUGGCUUUGCUUAUGCUAAAGAAGAAGUCAAGGAAAAUUGGGAGGAGCUUGUGAAGGAGUUUGUAUCCUCUCGGGUUGGAUUGCAGAGGGUUUGUCUUCUAGUUGAUACAAAAUGGGGCAUGAAAGCGAGGGACUUUGAACUCAUAGAUUUGAUGGAACGAUCCAAAACACCUUACCAAAUCGUCUUAACUAAGACCGACAUCGUUUUCCCCAUAGAUGUUGCUCGACGUGCGAUGCAAAUCCAAGAGAAUUUAAAGAAUAACAAUUCGAUUAUUAACCCAGUGAUGAUGGUGAGUUCCAAGUCAGGAGCUGGAGUCCGCACUCUGAGAAGCGUGCUUGCUAAAAUUGCACGUUUCGUGAAGCCGUGAAGGGGGUCAUGUUGAACUUGCUGGGGUCAUGAACUCACAAGUGUCACCCAAACUCACCAAAAGCUUACUCUCGCAUUAUCAAUCCUGCUCGUCAAGCUUAGAAGCCACUCAUUAAGUCAAAUAAAAGCUACUCGCCAUCGGUAAUUCAAACGCAUCAACCAUGAUCUCGUGGAUGUCACUUUCUUUUUCUCUGACUAUCGACUACUUCGCCCACCAUGAAUCAAAUCGUUUUACAUCGAUUUGCUUGACAUCGCCACCACCCCACUGAGGUCACUAAAGCUAGUUAAACCUUAUCUUGUAGAAAGUGAUUGUAAACUUCUAGAGUUUUGAUUGGGUAAAGGUCAUAACCGCAUACCUAAUUAGUUGACUUAUUUUACUUAUAUUAUUGGCCGGUACGCGUCCACAAGUUAUUUUUUGAG